RNAcentral lists this ribosomal RNA (493 nucleotides) under uncultured bacterium. RNAcentral describes it as "partial 16S ribosomal RNA". It matches the Rfam family "Bacterial small subunit ribosomal RNA", at positions 28 to 507 of the family's 1533-position model. The record is from RNAcentral.
GAUGAACGCUAGCUACAGGCUUAACACAUGCAAGUCGUACGGCAGCGGAUACUUAGCUUGCGAAGUAUGCCGGCGACCGGCGCACGGGUGAGUAACGCGUACCGAACCUGCCCAUCACAUAGGUAUAGGCAUGCGAAAGCAAGAUCAAUAUCUGAUGCUCUCAAUUUUAUGCGUGUAUGAUUGAUUAAAGCCUUCGGGCGGUGAUGGAUGGCGGUGCGUUUCAUUAGGAAGUUGGCGGGGUAACGGCCCACCAAUGCUUCGAUGGGUAGGGGUUCUGAGAGGUAGGUCCCCCGCAUGGGAACCGAGAUACGGUGCAAACUCCUACGGGAGGCAGCAGUGAGGAAUGUUAGUCGAUGGGCGAGAGCCUGAACCAGCCAAGUAGCGUGCGAGAUGCAGGCCGUUGUGGUCGUAAACCGUUUUUAUGAGUGAAUAAAGUGCACGACGUGUGGUGUCAUUGCAGGUAGCUGAAGAAAAAGGACCGGCUAAUUCCGUG